CUUGACAUCCAGAGAAUUUAGCAGAGAUGCUUUAGUGCCUUCGGGAACUCUGGGACAGGUGCUGCAUGGCUGUCGUCAGCUCGUGUUGUGAAAUGUUGGGUUAAGUCCCGNAACGAGCGCAACCCUUAUCCUUUGUUGCCAGCACGUAAUGGUGGGAACUCAAAGGAGACUGCCGGUGAUAAACCGGAGGAAGGUGGGGAUGACGUCAAGUCAUCAUGGCCCUUACGAGUAGGGCUACACACGUGCUACAAUGGCGCAUACAAAGAGAAGCGACCUCGCGAGAGCAAGCGGACCUCAUAAAGUGCGUCGUAGUCCGGAUUGGAGUCUGCAACUCGACUCCAUGAAGUCGGAAUCGCUAGUAAUCGUAAAUCAGAAUGUUACGGUGAAUACGUUCCCGGGCCUUGUACACACCGCCCGUCACACCAUGGGAGUGGGUUGCAAAAGAAGUAGAUAGCUUAACCUUCGGGAGGGCGUUUACCACUUUGUGAUUCAUGACUGGGGUGAAGUCGUAACAAGGUAGGCGUAGUGCU
Molecule: ribosomal RNA, 530 nt
Filed under: uncultured bacterium
Lineage: Bacteria
Description: bacterial SSU rRNA
Rfam family: Bacterial small subunit ribosomal RNA
Source: RNAcentral